CAACGCCGCGUGAGGGAGGAAGGCCUGUGGGUUGUAAACCUCUUUUCUCAGGGAAGAAGUACUGACGGUACCUGAGGAAUCAGCAUCGGCUAACUCCGUGCCAGCAGCCGCGGUAAGACGGAGGAUGCAAGCGUUAUCCGGAAUUAUUGGGCGUAAAGCGUCCGUAGGCGGUUCAGAAAGUCUGCUGUUAAAGCGUGUAGCUCAACUACAUAUAGGCGGUGGAAACUACAAAACUUGAGUGCGUUCGGGGUAGAGGGAAUUCCUGGUGUAGCGGUGAAAUGCGUAGAGAUCAGGAAGAACACCGGUGGCGAAGGCGCUCUACUAGACCGCAACUGACACUGAGGGACGAAAGCUAGGGGAGCGAAUGGGAUUAGAUACCCCAGUAGUC
This 388-nucleotide ribosomal RNA is filed under the name uncultured cyanobacterium. Its description in RNAcentral is "bacterial SSU rRNA". It matches the Rfam family "Bacterial small subunit ribosomal RNA", at positions 392 to 795 of the family's 1533-position model. The record is from RNAcentral. Lineage: Bacteria; Bacillati; Cyanobacteriota.